This 454-nucleotide ribosomal RNA is filed under the name uncultured Sphingobacteriales bacterium. Its description in RNAcentral is "bacterial SSU rRNA". It matches the Rfam family "Bacterial small subunit ribosomal RNA", at positions 927 to 1382 of the family's 1533-position model. Lineage: Bacteria; Pseudomonadati; Bacteroidota; Sphingobacteriia; Sphingobacteriales. The record is from RNAcentral.
AAGCGGAGGAGCAUGUGGUUUAAUUCGAUGAUACGCGAGGAACCUUACCUGGGCUCGAACGUAAGAUGACUGUAGGUGAAAGCUUACAUCUCUUCGGAGCAUUUUACGAGGUGCUGCAUGGUUGUCGUCAGCUCGUGCCGUGAGGUGUCGGGUUAAGUCCCAUAACGAGCGCAACCCCUACCUUUAGUUGCCAUCAGGUAAUGCUGGGGACUCUAAAGGAACUGCCUACGCAAGUAGUGAGGAAGGCGGGGAUGACGUCAAAUCAGCACGGCCCUUACGUCCAGGGCUACACACGUGCUACAAUGGCCGAUACAGAGGGCAGCUACCUGGUGACAGGAUGCAAAUCUCCAAAGUCGGUCUCAGUUCGGAUCGGAGUCUGCAACCCGACUCCGUGAAGUUGGAUUCGCUAGUAAUCGUGAAUCAGAAUGUCACGGUGAAUACGUUCCCGGGCCUU